Gossypium arboreum is the source of this 467-nucleotide long non-coding RNA. RefSeq lists it as uncharacterized. Lineage: Eukaryota; Viridiplantae; Streptophyta; Magnoliopsida; Malvales; Malvaceae. The transcript has 2 exons. The record is from RefSeq and is a predicted model, not a curated record.
AUGGAUCUAGUAUGUCCUUUUCACAUUUGUGGUAUCGAGAGUUUCCAGGUUAGCUCGGGUUGGAGGCCGUCAGAGAUAUUAUCACCCUAUCGAGUUAACGUUAUCGGAGUAAGUAAACUCAAGUGAUUCGAGUCUAUGGCAUGUAUAGGGUUUUAAUGUGAGUAAGUAAUAUUAUGAUUUAGCCAAAGGCAUUGGCUUGUUAUUAAGGUAGUAUUAGUCAUGUAAAUUGGCCUAUGUCGGCUAAUGACAUUAUGGGCCCAUAUGAUUAUUCUUAUGCAUGUAUGUUAUUAUCUCUUGUGAUGUGGCUUACAACAUGUAUACCUAGAGAUUGAAUUGAGAUUCAUUGAUGAGCUAGUAACUAAUGCGGAUUAAGUGAUUGGUAAAUAGUUAAUAAUGCUUCAUGAAUGGUUUGUGAUGUAAUGAUAGUUAUGUCUAGUAUGUGGUAAUGAUAUGGGCAAAUUCUAUAA